UCCCCUAGAGCAUGACAGCAAGGAGCCCCGAUCGUCCGAUCCCCGACGCAGCUCAGUUAUUGACCCGCUCACUCGUCUGGGGGCCACGACUGCGCGCGCACCCCGCUAAAGCACAGCCUAGUCCGACCUAGGCAUUCUGCACGCAAUGCCUGCGCCUUGCGACGGCUGCAAAGACACGUGCAGCGGUGGCACUGCAGCAUGCGGUGCCAACUGCACGUGCGGCCCGAACUGCGCGUGCGGCGAUGGCAAACCCUCAGGGGGUAAGCCAUGCUGCCAAGGAGGCAAAAAAUAAAUUUUCGGCCUUACACGUCACCUGAAUUCUUCUCAAAAUGAAUCUAUUUUACACUUAGUACUCUGUAUUUAUUGCAUUGUAGCAUAAUAUUAUAAUGUAUAAUUCUCUAACGUAUAUCAUGUAGUGGUUUAUGAAAAAUCUAUAUUUUAGUACCUAAUUUCAAAAUGGAUAAUGUUGUGUGGUCAUGAAAUAAAAUAAAUAUACUCGUAUUUAGGUAAUGAGACUUAUUGAUGUAUUAAUUAUUAUGAUCUUAUUAUUAUUAAUAUUGUAUUUAGCAUAAUCUCUAAGUUAGUCUCGUCUCUGCUUAUCGCUUCAAUGUAAGAUGUAGUAUUAAUAAUUAAUAUUUUAUCACAUUCAGUGUAGGACUUAAGAUUAUUAAUAAUGGAAAUAGAUCAGUGGCUGACAUUUAUGUAGGAGAAUCUAGUACUUUUAAUACUCAUUAGUGUAAGAAAGUGUAGCGAAAAUGCA
Long non-coding RNA from Ostrinia furnacalis (Asian corn borer), 760 nucleotides. RefSeq lists it as uncharacterized. NCBI's taxonomy places the organism in Eukaryota, Metazoa, Arthropoda, Insecta, Lepidoptera, Crambidae. The transcript has 3 exons. The record is from RefSeq and is a predicted model, not a curated record.